CAGUCGCCGCGGUAAUACGGAGGGUGCAAGCGUUAAUCGGAAUUACUGGGCGUAAAGCGCACGCAGGCGGUCUGACAAGUCAGAUGUGAAAUCCCCGGGCUUAACCUGGGAACUGCAUUUGAAACUGUCUGGCUGGAGUCUUGUAGAGGGGGGUGGAAUUCCAGGUGUAGCGGUGAAAUGCGUAGAGAUCUGGAGGAAUACCGGUGGCGAAGGCGGCCCCCUGGACAAAGACUGACGCUCAGGUGCGAAAGCGUGGGGAGCAAACAGGAUUAGAUACCCGCGUAGUCCCUGUCUCUUAUAC
Molecule: ribosomal RNA, 301 nt
Filed under: uncultured bacterium
Lineage: Bacteria
Description: partial 16S ribosomal RNA
Rfam family: Bacterial small subunit ribosomal RNA
Source: RNAcentral